UCUGCUUAUAUAUUGUCAAGACAACCUGUGUUUCUUGUGUUGAGUGUUCUGUAUGUCUUCGUCCAUUUGACAGGUUAAAUAACUGCCCGUGAUGUCAGAAUGAGAUAUUUGCACAACCAUGUAGCUGGCUGAGGUCUUUUCACAAUUUAACGCGGUGUUGUUAAAUCACAAGUUUGCAGUUUCAGCAGUGAUUGCAAUAAACUGAACAUUUCUUAUUCUUUAGGGAUGUCACGAUUUCGUGAGACGGAGGCAUCUCUGCACCACAUGGGAGCCUGUGGCAAAAUGCAGUCUGAGCAGCCCGACAAGGAAUCUGAUCUGCUUGCUUUGACAAGGUAUGGCUGGGCCUGCAGAGAAAGUGUAAGCAGACUGUGCUGUGUUGCUGAUCAGUGCUGAUCUCCACGCCUGAGUUGGUCCCACAACAUCCAGGCACCAGCGUGCUUUGCUUCAUCAUUGACAAGGUGCGCGGCAAGCUCUCACUCAAGCAACACAUUCCAGUGGUCUUCUGUCAACAGACUGGGUGUAUUGAAGUACCAUUACAAGGUCCAAUAAACAACGCUUGCGAGAUG
Long non-coding RNA from Dermacentor silvarum, 566 nucleotides. RefSeq lists it as uncharacterized. Lineage: Eukaryota; Metazoa; Arthropoda; Arachnida; Ixodida; Ixodidae. The record is from RefSeq and is a predicted model, not a curated record. The transcript is spliced from 3 exons.